RNAcentral lists this long non-coding RNA (1471 nucleotides) under Homo sapiens (human). RNAcentral describes it as "HSALNT0064560". The record is from RNAcentral. Lineage: Eukaryota; Metazoa; Chordata; Mammalia; Primates; Hominidae.
CGUCAAGCGUUCUUAAAGGAAGGUCAUACGCCAGUUAAACUCUGCCGUUUUGCCUCUUAGCGUGCAUGCCUGAGCCCAUUUGCCCAACUCCUGAGAUCUUAUUGGGAAGCUGCUGAUCACCAGCUUCAGCUGUUUUCUAUCUAUUGGGAGCCGGCCUGUCCCUGGCACCAGCUGCAACCAAUUACUGUUUUAGAGAGACAGUUUAACAACAGCCUGGCCAUCACCUGAUGGUCGCCUGACAUUCCUGGGGCCAAGCGGGGGCUUCUCCUGCCCUGCUCAUGUCUGCUUAAGUACCUACUCUAAAAAUUCCAAGUUGCAGCAAAAGAAUCCCAGCAACAUAUUUCAUAUUGAGACAUUAGCGACAGCAGCACUGUGACCAAGUAAUGGGGCUGGAGGGGACCAAAAAAUAAGAGCCUCCCUUCUGCCCUAUUCUUCCCAGAAUAGAGAGAAUCGGGAAGACUGUGGACCACAUGUCUCCAGUUCCAUUUUCCUGAGCUUACACCUUUCAAUAAGCCCACUCCACCCUGGGGUAGAGGAAGAAGGCUGGGUAAGCUACCAGAUGACACUCCUCACCAACUACCCACCAACACAGAGGGAGAAAAAGCAAACUUUUUGGAGUGAAGAUGAGUGUCCAUUAUGUCAAGAACCUCAAGGGAAACCGGUUCUGCAACUCAGGGGUCCCAUCCCCCUGCCUGUAAGGAACCGGCUGCACAGCACAAGGUCAAUUCACAAGCUCUUGUGCUUCAUUUGAGCCAGAAGACACCACUGAACAGAUCAUGGUUUCAGUACCUACACUGGCUGUUUUUCAUUCAAGGUGCAAGAGUGGUUCCAAAAGCUAUGCAAGGGAUUACUUUUUGCCAAACUAAUUAUCACAAUUAUUGAGAAAUAUGACAAAGACCUAAAAGUAUCAAACAUUGCCUACAUUUGAUAGGCUUUGAAUAAAAGAUAAGUUAAUUUCAACAGGCUGUGAUUAAAACUGUCCAUAAUAAUAAUAAUGAUAAAACAAUUGUCAUAUGUUGAGAUUAAUAAAUGUUACACAAAAUGUUUCAAAUGUAUUUUAUCUUCUACAGUCUAUAAGAUGGACACUAUAAUUUUCCCCAUUUUAUAUUUGAGGUUUAGGCCAUUGUUAAAGCUUUCCCAGAGUUAUAUAUCUGAUAUGGCAGAGCCAGGGCCUUCAGGAGAGACGCUGGAAUACCUUUGUUGAAAAUUAAGCUAGACUCUAGUAGUUCUCAGUUGAAUUAAUUGGGAACAAUUUACCAAGUAAUGAAUAAUUGGUACAAAACUGUAAGUAAUAAAAUGCUGAAUAGUGAAAAAGAGAUUCUGAAGUCCUAGAGAGAUCAGCAAAAAAGCAAAUCCAAAGCAGAAGGCUCGCAGUAGAAGGUGCAAUGUGAGCUGUGCUUUGAAACGGCUCUGAUGGUACAAAAAGAGGAACAAAGACAGAGACAGCAGGAUGGAAGGGAUUGGAAGGUUA